This 1256-nucleotide long non-coding RNA is filed under the name Capra hircus (goat). Its description in RNAcentral is "lncRNA (ENSCHIG00010008038.1)". Lineage: Eukaryota; Metazoa; Chordata; Mammalia; Artiodactyla; Bovidae. The record is from RNAcentral.
CUAUCUAAUCUUUUUACUCUUUCAUCCGAGUCCUCUCCUCAGGCGCCUGGAUUCAUUCACCCUUGUUAUUCUCCGCACUUCUUCCAAAUUGCCUGUGCUUCCCUAGGAACCAAGGUGGCGGGAACACAGCCUGAGGGGCCAGGUGCUACUCAGCAAGAACUGGCCACAGAGGAACUGUUACUCCGUGCCCUUCUGCACAGGCAGCCUCAGCCUGGACUUCCCUUUCAUCCUGCCAGACUGCCUGUCUGCCCUGAAUUUAAUUUGCGACCGCUGUGCCCCCUGGGCCUACUUGGGCAUCACCGCGUUCUGGUGUCGCCUUCCCUGAAAACAGCUCUAUGUUUGGAUUCUCUUCCCCCAGGUGUAUUCACUGCCUUGCCUUUUUCAAAUGCUCACAAAGUUAUUAUUCCCAGCCUACAUCCCUCAAGUCUCAAAGGUUGUUUGCAUUUUAUUUCUGUUGCCUGAGCUGCUCACAAUACUUUCCAAAUUGGAACCAUUAGUGAAUUCCAAAAACAUGCAGCCUCUUCCCUUUUUCCAUCCAGGUCCUGAAUAAGAAUGUGUAAGUAAGAAUCAGACCCACAGUUGUGCCAACAGUGGAUCAGGCCGCACUUAUUAAUCCUUCACUUAUUAAUCCUGCCCGCUACCAGCAGCACUCAGAACAUUCUCAGUUUAAAGGAGUUUUUCUGCUAAUUUUAAACCCACGUACUCAACCUUCCAAACAUUUAUUGGGAAUUAUGCUAGGUUGCUGUGAGAGAUUCCAAAUCAUGUAAAAAACAAUCAUCGCCCUUCUCUUUCAGAGGCUUCUAGAAUCAUAGAGUACACGUAUACCGUGGAGAUAUUGCAGGUUUAAUUUCAGACCACUACAGCAAAGUGAAUAUCACAAUGCAGCAAGUCACACAGAUUGUUUAGUUUCCCAAUUCAUAUAAAAGUUAUGCUAACACUGUGCUGUCAUUGAUGUGCAACAGCAUUAUGUCUAAAAAAACGAUGUGCAUAAUACAUGGUUAAAUCAUACUUUAUUGCGGAAAAAUGCUAACCAUUUUUAGUGAGCUGUAAUCUUUCUUGCUGGUGGAGGGUCUUGCCUCCAUGUUGAUGAUUGUUGGUUGAUCAAAGUAGUGGCUGCUGAAAGCUGGGGUUCUUGUUGUUCAGUUGCUCAGUCAUGUCUGACUCUUUGCAACCCAAUGGAUUGUAGCAUGCCAGGCUUCCCUGUUCUUCACCAUCUCCCAGAGCAUGCUCAAACUCAUGUCCAUUGAGUUGGUGAU